This 468-nucleotide ribosomal RNA is filed under the name uncultured bacterium. RNAcentral describes it as "partial 16S ribosomal RNA". It matches the Rfam family "Bacterial small subunit ribosomal RNA", at positions 28 to 507 of the family's 1533-position model. The record is from RNAcentral.
GAUGAACGCUGGCGGCGUGCUUAACACAUGCAAGUCGAACGGAAAGGCCCUGCUUGUGUGGGGUGCUCGAGUGGCGAACGGGUGAGUAACACGUGAGUAACCUGCCCUUGACUUUGGGAUAACUUCAGGAAACUGGGGCUAAUACCGGAUAGGAGCUGCUGCUGGAUGGUGGGGGUUGGAAAGUUUCGGCGGUUGGGGAUGGACUCGCGGGUUAUCAGCUUGUGGGUGGGGUAGUGGCUUACCAAGGCUUUGACGGGUAGGCGGCCUGAGAGGGUGACCGGCCACAUUGGGACUGCGAUACGGCCCAGACUCCUACGGGAGGCAGCAGUGGGGAAUCUUGCACAAUGAGCGGAAGCCUGAUGCAGCAGCGCCGCGUGCGGAAUGACGGCCUUCGGGUUGUAAACCGCUUUCGCCUGUGACGAAGCGUGAGUGACGGUAAUGGAUAAAGAAGCACCGGCUAACUACGUG